GAUGAACGCUGGCGGCGUGCCUAAUACAUGCAAGUCGAGCGAACAGACGAGGAGCUUGCUCCUCUGACGUUAGCGGCGGACGGGUGAGUAACACGUGGAUAACCUACCUAUAAGACUGGGAUAACUUCGGGAAACCGGAGCUAAUACCGGAUAAUAUAUUGAACCGCAUGGUUCAAUAGUGAAAGACGGUUUUGCUGUCACUUAUAGAUGGAUCCGCGCCGCAUUAGCUAGUUGGUAAGGUAACGGCUUACCAAGGCAACGAUGCGUAGCCGACCUGAGAGGGGGAUCGGCCACACUGGAACUGAGACACGGUCCAGACUCCUACGGGAGGCAGCGGUAGGGAAUCUUCCGCAAUGGGCGAAAGCCUGACGAAGCAACGCCGCGUGAGUAAUGAAGGUCUUCGGAUCGUAAAACUCUGUUAUUGGGGAAGAACAAAUGUGUAAGUAACUAUGCACGUCUUGACGGUACCUAAUCAGAAAGCAACGGCUAACUACGU
Molecule: ribosomal RNA, 496 nt
Filed under: uncultured bacterium
Lineage: Bacteria
Description: partial 16S ribosomal RNA
Rfam family: Bacterial small subunit ribosomal RNA
Source: RNAcentral